UACAGAGGUCUCAAGCGUUGUUCGGAUUCAUUGGGCGUAAAGGGUGCGUAGGCGGCGCGGUAAGUCGGGUGUGAAAUCUCGGAGCUUAACUCCGAAACUGCAUUCGAUACUGCCGUGCUUGAGGACUGGAGAGGAGACUGGAAUUUACGGUGUAGCGGUGAAAUGCGUAGAUAUCAAGAGGAACACCAGUGGCGAAGGCGAGUCCCUGGACGAUACCUGACCACUGAGGCACGAAAGCCAAGGGAGCAAACAGG
Molecule: ribosomal RNA, 254 nt
Filed under: uncultured bacterium
Lineage: Bacteria
Description: partial 16S ribosomal RNA
Rfam family: Bacterial small subunit ribosomal RNA
Source: RNAcentral